This 484-nucleotide ribosomal RNA is filed under the name uncultured bacterium. Its description in RNAcentral is "partial 16S ribosomal RNA". It matches the Rfam family "Bacterial small subunit ribosomal RNA", at positions 29 to 507 of the family's 1533-position model. The record is from RNAcentral.
AUUGAACGCUGGCGGCAUGCUUUACACAUGCAAGUCGAACGGCAGCGCGGGCUUCGGCCUGGCGGCGAGCGGCGAACGGGUGAGUAAUACAUCGGAACGUGCCCAGUAGUGGGGGAUAGCUCGGCGAAAGCCGGAUUAAUACCGCAUACGACCUGAGGGUGAAAGCGGGGGAUCUUCGGACCUCGCGCUAUUGGAGCGGCCGAUGGCAGAUUAGCUAGUUGGUGGGGUAAAGGCCUACCAAGGCGACGAUCUGUAGCUGGUCUGAGAGGACGACCAGCCACACUGGGACUGAGACACGGCCCAGACUCCUACGGGAGGCAGCAGUGGGGAAUUUUGGACAAUGGGCGAAAGCCUGAUCCAGCAAUGCCGCGUGUGUGAUGAAGGCCUUCGGGUUGUAAAGCACUUUUGGCGGGAACGAAAAGGACUGUGCCAAUACCACGGUUCGAUGACGGUACCCGCAGAAUAAGCACCGGCUAACUACGUG